Molecule: long non-coding RNA, 562 nt
Filed under: Ananas comosus (pineapple)
Lineage: Eukaryota; Viridiplantae; Streptophyta; Magnoliopsida; Poales; Bromeliaceae
Description: long non-coding RNA (ACOM_LNC026972)
Source: RNAcentral
CCGCUAUAUUUUACAACGCUUGUGUCACGCCCCGGUUUAUUCGUUUUCCCGGGCUCGCUAACAGACCCGUCGUAUACAUAGAAAUUUUUUCUGUAUACGAAGCGAAGCUGUACCUGUACCUGUAAUCAUACAACACUACAACCAGUAGUAUAGAGCUACUAGGAAAAAUAAAACAUAUAUAAAACAAUGGUUCAAUACAUACAUAGCAUCCUGGUACAAAAAUACUCGCUCUAGCGAGGUACAACAUCGGUAUGUAAAGAACCAAAAACUAGAACUACAUGUAGCUGGUACUCCUCUAGCUCUCUGACUCGUCAGGAAUGACUCUAACUCGCAACACCCUUGCCACGAUCAGUAUCAGCAAUAGCAGCAGCCGCAACCGAAGGCUCUACAAAAGAUCCACAACUGGGCGUGAGAACUACUGCAAAAAGAAGUAGUCCUCAGUAGGUACCGCUACCGACCUCAACGGCUUACCCACUAAGUCUACAGAAGGUAUGCUCAAUGAUAGUAAAGGAACUGGAAACAAUCUACAGCCACAUGCCACUAUACUAUCAUGAUCCAGCUC